AUCCUUUUGUGGUUCAUAAAUAUGAUCAUGUUUUUUUUUUUUUUACACCAUCCUGUGAGAUGUGCCUCUCUCAAACCUUGUUACAAUGUGGGCAUAUUAUCCACCUGAUG
RNAcentral lists this small nucleolar RNA (110 nucleotides) under Ictidomys tridecemlineatus (thirteen-lined ground squirrel). Its description in RNAcentral is "Spermophilus tridecemlineatus (thirteen-lined ground squirrel) Small nucleolar RNA U13". It matches the Rfam family "Small nucleolar RNA U13". The record is from Rfam by way of RNAcentral. Lineage: Eukaryota; Metazoa; Chordata; Mammalia; Rodentia; Sciuridae.